Centropristis striata (black sea bass) is the source of this 1089-nucleotide long non-coding RNA. RefSeq lists it as uncharacterized. The record is from RefSeq and is a predicted model, not a curated record. Lineage: Eukaryota; Metazoa; Chordata; Actinopteri; Perciformes; Serranidae. The transcript is spliced from 2 exons.
CUUUUGCGCAAAAUAUGUUGUCAUCUCUUGUUGGGAAGGCGGUGAAAUUUGAUGUUUAUUUGUCUAAUGAGCAUCUUUAGAUUUUUGUUUUAGAGGUUUUUUUUGUUUUUCAAAACAGAAGUUCACAAACUGAUAUUUUAUUUAAAUAUUUGAUUGUAGAAGUGUAACAAUUACAACUUUAUUUUUUUAGCAGCAAAACAAAGUAAAGACAUUCUUAGUAUACCAAAGUUGCCUGAAACUUGUCCCUUCUUCAGUCUGUGGCACGAGGAUAGGCAUGCUAUGUUUUAAUCUAUGCCAGAAAUCCCUAAACCAGCUAUGCCUGUUAUGUGAUUUCAGAGGCCUGUAUUACGAAGAAGGAUUUGAGGUUCAGUGAGGUAACCUGAGGUUUAACCCUGGUUAUCAGUAUCUCCAAGGUGGUUCUCUUUUAAUCUGGCUAGGUCACCAUGGUAACUCAUGCUGCGGAGCUAACCUGGUCGGGACCAGGUUUUGUUCUGAGCUUCUGCUUGAAAUUGGUAAGAAUGCCUCGAACUACUUUUAAAACAGUGUCUCAAACUAGUCAACAGUCAAUCUAUGAUCCAUACAGAGUCUCAGCGGAGAGAACUAGAUAUAAAUUCAUAUCUGUUGAGUCGUAACAUUGUAUAAAUGUCAUCAAACAGAUCCGUGCAGUUACAGUAGAGUAACUGUAUGUAUCAUUGUAGCUGUAGUUACAGUACAGUUAUUGUAUGAAACAUACUCGUAGUUAAAGUAGAGAUACUGUAUCGUAGCUGCAGUUACAGUAGAGUUACUGUAUGUAUCGUUGUAGCAGUCAACUCAUGUGUGAGGUCUUUGUUUCUCACUGAAAAGUUCUCUUGACAUUUAGAAUUCUCUGAAAUUACUCUCCUGUAUAAUAAGGGAGCAGACAUUAAUACUUCAAUAUUUUAUUAAUAAGUAUGAUGUUCACUUACAUAUGAAAUACUGUAUAAUUCCUUGAAAACAGAAUGUUAGGUUAAUUUGAUUUAUCCUGAUUGGCUGAUGAUCAUUUUAAACUUCUGGUUAAAUGCCUUAUUUUAAUAAUUUAGCUGCAACAUUAAUAAAUGUGAAAAGAGUGAA